UGGGGAAUAUUGGACAAUGGGCGAAAGCCUGAUCCAGCCAUGCCGCGUGUGUGAAGAAGGUCUUCGGAUUGUAAAGCACUUUAAGUUGGGAGGAAGGGCCAUUACCUAAUACGUGAUGGUUUUGACGUUACCGACAGAAUAAGCACCGGCUAACUCUGUGCCAGCAGCCGCGGUAAUACAGAGGGUGCAAGCGUUAAUCGGAAUUACUGGGCGUAAAGCGCGCGUAGGUGGUUUGUUAAGUUGGAUGUGAAAUCCCCGGGCUCAACCUGGGAACUGCAUUCAAAACUGACUGACUAGAGUAUGGUAGAGGGUGGUGGAAUUUCCUGUGUAGCGGUGAAAUGCGUAGAUAUAGGAAGGAACACCAGUGGCGAAGGCGACCACCUGGACUGAUACUGACACUGAGGUGCGAAAGCGUGGGGAGCAAACAGGAUUAGAUACCCUUGUAGUCCCUGAGCGGGC
Molecule: ribosomal RNA, 459 nt
Filed under: uncultured bacterium
Lineage: Bacteria
Description: bacterial SSU rRNA
Rfam family: Bacterial small subunit ribosomal RNA
Source: RNAcentral